This 550-nucleotide ribosomal RNA is filed under the name uncultured Acaulospora. RNAcentral describes it as "SSU rRNA". It matches the Rfam family "Eukaryotic small subunit ribosomal RNA", at positions 548 to 1098 of the family's 1831-position model. Lineage: Eukaryota; Fungi; Glomeromycota; Glomeromycetes; Diversisporales; Acaulosporaceae. The record is from RNAcentral.
UUGGAGGGCAAGUCUGGUGCCAGCAGCCGCGGUAAUUCCAGCUCCAAUAGCGUAUAUCAAAGUUGUUGCAGUUAAAAAGCUCGUAGUUGAAUCUCGGGGUUCAUACGUUGGUCGGGCUUUUUGGUCUGUACUAGCGUAAUGGAUUCCUACCUUCUGAAUAACCGGCAUGCCAUUAAUUUGGUGCGCCGGGGAAGCAGGACUGUUACCUUGAAAAAUUAGAGUGCUUAAAGCAGGCUUAUGCCUGAAUACAUUAGCAUGGAAUAAUGAAAUAGGACGGCAUGGUUCUAUUUUGUUGGUUUCUAGGAUCACCGUAAUGAUUAAUAGGGAUAGUUGGGGGCAUUAGUAUUUAAUUGUCAGAGGUGAAAUUCUUGGAUUUAUUAAAGACUAACUUCUACGAAAGCAUCUGCCAAGGAUGUUUUCAUUAAUCAAGAACGAAAGUUAGGGGAUCGAAGACGAUCAGAUACCGUCGUAGUCUUAACCAUAAACUAUGCCGACUAGGGAUCGGACGAUGUUAAUUUUUUAAUGACUCGUUCGGCGCCUUACGGGAAAC